This is a long non-coding RNA of Pongo pygmaeus (Bornean orangutan), 307 nucleotides long. RefSeq lists it as uncharacterized. The transcript has 3 exons. NCBI's taxonomy places the organism in Eukaryota, Metazoa, Chordata, Mammalia, Primates, Hominidae. The record is from RefSeq and is a predicted model, not a curated record.
CUGGGUAGCAGUGAUGACAGCUGGGACCAUGGGCUUGCUUCUUACAGGAAAGGAAAGCUUUCCAUAUUUCAAGUAUUGAGACAAAUGGAGUUUCGCUCUUGUUGCUGGAGUGCAAUGCAGCUCACUGCAACCUCUGCCUCCCAGUUCAAGCGAUUCUGCCUCAGCUUCCUGAGUAGCUGGGAUUACAGGCGUGUGCCACCAUGUGCCACCUUGUGAAGAGGUGCCUUCUGCCAUGAUUAGUCAUGUUCUGUCACUCAGGCUGGAGUGCAAUGGCACAAUCUUGGCUCACUGCAACCUUUGCCUCCCG